Molecule: non-coding RNA, 85 nt
Filed under: Pseudomonas fluorescens
Lineage: Bacteria; Pseudomonadati; Pseudomonadota; Gammaproteobacteria; Pseudomonadales; Pseudomonadaceae
Also listed under: 1 other name
Description: c-di-GMP sequence
Rfam family: c-di-GMP-I riboswitch aptamer
About the family: GEMM was predicted in a large-scale screen for bacterial structured RNA regulatory elements. Genes associated with GEMM are involved in a diverse array of functions, including chemotaxis regulation, signal transduction, secretion and chitin.
Source: RNAcentral
AUACGAUAAUGGCAAACCCGUCGAAAGGCGGGGACGCAAAACUUCCGGUCUAAAGGCUUCGGCCUAUGACAGCGGGGUUACCGAA